This 769-nucleotide long non-coding RNA is filed under the name Malus domestica (apple). RNAcentral describes it as "long non-coding RNA (MDOM_LNC006717)". The record is from RNAcentral. Lineage: Eukaryota; Viridiplantae; Streptophyta; Magnoliopsida; Rosales; Rosaceae.
UGUAGUUUAAUUAUGCAUGGUAGCUAGUAUCGUGUUAGUGUUAAGUUUUGGUUUUAUAUUUUGUUAGUCCCUGCACUUGGUUGAAUUGAAGGCUUAAUAAAGGGAUGUUAUUUCAGUAAUUCAUUACGUUGUUCCAAUAUAGUUUUUUUAUUCCUGUUUUCUAUUGGAAAUAAAGGUUGCUGAAAGGUUAUGAGCAACUAAUGUGUUUUCUCAAUGGAAUAAUGCAGCAGCAAAAGGUUAUUAGCUGUAAUUGGUUAUGUCAUAAGUUUACUUGGCAUAUGAACUGAGUUUUUCACAAAAGUAUAUAUGAGCUAUUCUCAUAGCUUGAAAGCUUCAUAGGAAGCAUUAGACAGUUAGAUAUAAGACUGAUUAAAUGGACCUGGAAGUGAUGGAGUCAAUGCUUUUGACUUAUGGUUGUUAUGCACUUUUGUACCAAGUCUAUGAUUAAUGCUUCAUGUAAGUAAAGAGCUUAUUCAUUGAUUAUAAGAGCUCAUGGACACUUUUCUUGUUCAUAGCCUCUGAUAGUUCUGAGUAAGUAGCAUUUGCUUGACAGAAGCAUGCAAUAAGCUUUAUAGCUUAACUGAAUCCAUUGGCCAAUAAAGAAUCAUGCUUGCAAAUUCAUUAAAGUUCUUUCUGGAAUUAACUAUUUGACCUAGUGGGAGAAUGUUGGAUGUUAGACUCUAAUCCAACGGCUAAUAGGUCAAUAUAGUUAAUAAGGAUUGAUGUGGAAUGUAAAUACGAUUAGGGUUUAGUUAUAUGCUAUAACUUG